CGGGAUGUGGCGCAGCUUGGUAGCGUACCUCGUUCGGGACGAGGGGGUCGUGGGUUCAAAUCCCGCCAUCCCGACCA
This 77-nucleotide transfer RNA is filed under the name Actinorhabdospora filicis. RNAcentral's name for it is "tRNA-Pro". It matches the Rfam family "tRNA". From Rfam's summary of the family: Transfer RNA (tRNA) molecules are approximately 80 nucleotides in length. The record is from RNAcentral. Lineage: Bacteria; Bacillati; Actinomycetota; Actinomycetes; Micromonosporales; Micromonosporaceae.